RNAcentral lists this ribosomal RNA (254 nucleotides) under uncultured bacterium. RNAcentral describes it as "partial 16S ribosomal RNA". It matches the Rfam family "Bacterial small subunit ribosomal RNA", at positions 524 to 776 of the family's 1533-position model. The record is from RNAcentral.
UACGGAGGGUGCAAGCGUUAUCCGGAAUCACUGGGUUUAAAGGGUGCGUAGGCGGUCAGGUAAGUCAGUUGUGAAAUACCCCGGCUUAACCGGAGGAACUGCGAUUGAUACUGUUUGACUUGAAUCAGGUUGAGGUAGGCGGAAUGUGGCAUGUAGCGGUGAAAUGCUUAGAUAUGCCAUAGAACACCGAUGGCGAAGGCAGCCCCCUGGGCCAGCACUGACGCUCAUGCACGAAAGCGUGGGGAGCAAACAGG